GGACAGGUUAUUAAGAGCCUAUGGUGGAUGCCUUGACACAAAGAGGCGAUGAAGGACGCGGCGUGGCUGCGAUAAGCCUCGGGGAGGUGCUUAGCAACCUUUGAUCCGGGGAUUUCCGAAUGGGGCAACCCGUCUCGCAAUUCAAUGCGGGACAUCUUUCGAGUAACGUCGGAAGAAGCGAACCCGGGGAAGUGAAACAUCUCAGUACCCGGAGGAAAAGAAAAAACAUCAGCUUUUAGCUUUUAGCUCAUAGCUUUCGGGGUUUUCCCCGUCGGCUAAUGGCUAUAAGCUAUAAGCUGAAUUAUUCCCUUAGUAGCGGCGAGCGAAAAGGGAAGAGCCUAAACCCGUUGCGUGACGCGCAAGCGAAGCGCGGCGGGGGUUGCAAGGCAAUGACGUUUGAGGUUUAAGUCGCAAGAUUUAAUUUUCAAGAGAGUUAAAAAAUAAAACGGUUAAUUGAACGUCCCUGGAAAGGGCGACCAAAGAGGGUAAUAGUCCCGUAAAUGAAAAUUGUUUUGUCUCUCAGUCAUUGUUCUUAAGUACCGCGGGGAACGACAGCCCCGUGGGAAGCCGGGAUGACUAUAAUCCCAAGGCUAAAUACUCUUUGUGAUCGAUAGUGAACUAGUACCGUGAGGGAAAGGUUAAAAGAACCCCGGUGAGGGGAGUGAAAUAGAACCUGAAACCAUAAGGCUUACAAAGAGUCGGAGUCCCUCCGCCCGCAAGGGCGUUUGGGAUGACGGCGUGCUUUUUGCAGAACGAGCCAACGAGUGUAUGUGCGUUGCGUGCUUAAGUCGCUUAAAAAACGACGAAAGCAAAGGGAAACCGAGUCUUAAAUGGGCGAUUUGUAGCGCAUAUACGACCCGAAGCCAAGCGAGCUACCCCUGGCCAGGAUGAAUCACGGGUAAUACUGUGAGGAGGUCCGAACCGGUGAGUCGUGCAACGCUCUCGGAUGAGCUGGGGGUUGUAGUGAAAAGCUAAUCGAGCUUGGUAAUAGCUGGUUCUCUCCGAAAUAGCUUUAGGGCUAGCCUCUGAGUUCCCGUUUUUGGAGGUAGAGCACUGGAUGGAUUGAGAUGCGAAAGCUACUUAGUCCAAUCAAACUCCGAAUUCCGAAAACAAAUGCUCAGGGAGUAAGUCUAAGGGGGCGAAGCUCCUUAGACAAAAGGGAAAAAGCCCAGACCAUCAUCUAAGGUCCCUAAAUUCGAGCUAAGUGUAAAGGAAGUGGCCCGCCAGAGACAGGUAGGAGGUUGGCUUAGAGGUAGCCAUCCUUUAAAGAGUGUGUAACAACUCACUACCAUAUGGCGGACUGCGCCAAAGAUGUAUAGGGGCUAAGCUCGGUACCGAAGAUAUGGAUGUAUUUCGCGCAAGCGAAGUACGUGGUAGGAGAGCGUUCUUUAUGCAGUGAAGCAGAACCGGAAGGUUCUGUGGAGCGUAAAGAAGUGAGAAUGUUGGCAUGAGUAACCGCAAGUCCGGUGAAAAACCGGACCACCGAUAACCUAAGGUUUCCUUGGCAAUGUAAAUCAGCCAAGGGUUAGGCGGGCCUAAGGCGAUGCCGAAAGGCGAAGCUGACGGACAGCCGGUUAAUAUUCCGGCCCCGCCUUCAAUCUAUCCCGCAGCAAUGCGGGAUAAAAUGGGGUGACGUAAUUUGAAGGUUGAGGCGCGUUAUUGGAUUCGCGUUCUUGAUUUUUGAUGGAUUUUCCAGGCAAAUCCGGAAAGUCGUUAACAUCGGAGAUUGAGAAAAUUUUUGAGCAAUCAAGAAAAUUUCAGCCAACCAGUUACCUAGAAAACCCUCGUUAUUCCGGUGUUUUUGCUUUUUCGGAGCAAUCCGUAUUGGCGAAUGCCGGUGAUUGGAGGCGACCGUACCACAAUCCGACACAGGUAGGUUGGGCGAGAAGCCCGAGGUGAACGGGUGAUUCCUCGUUAAGGAACUCGGCAAAAAAGCUAGACGUAAGUUCGCAAUAUGUCUUCCCCGCUUAGGCGGGGCGCAGCUAAAGUACCCCUAGCGACUGUUUAUCAAAAACACAGCUCCCUGCUAACUCGCAAGAGGAUGUAUAGGGGGUGACGCCUGUCCAGUGCUGGAAGGUUAACGGUAGAUGUCUCUUUGUAUUUGAGAUUAUAUCAAUGACGCGGAGAGGCUGAUGCCCGAAGCCCCAGUGAACGACAGCGAUAACUAUAAUCGUUCUAAGGUACCGAAAUCCCUUGGCAUGUAAGUUAUGUCCCGCAGGAAUGGCGCAACGACUGGGGGACUGUCUCAACGAGGAGCCCGGUGAAAAUGCAGUGGUGGUGAAGAUGCCCCCUACCUGCGGCAAGACGAAAAGACCCCGGAAGCUUUACUGCAACUUGAUAUUGGCUUAAGGUUCUGGAUGCGUAGAAUAGGUGGGAGGCUUUGAAGUUCGCCUUUCGGGGCGGAUGGAGCCGUCAGUGAAAUACCACUCUUUCAGGACUUUAAAUCUAACCCCGAUGAUGAAAACGCCGGGGGACAGUGUCUGGCGGGCAGUUUUGGUGGGGCGCUAUCCUCCUAAAAUGUAACGGAGGAGUUUAUUAAGGUCGGCUAACUCCGGAUGGAAAUCGGAGUGAUAGGGUAAAGCCAUAAGCCGGCUUGACUGCAAGGCGUAUAUGCCGCGCAGCUACGAAAGUAUAACUUAGUGAACCGAUGGUUCUUUGUAGAAAGGCCAGAGAUUAUCAGACAAAAGCUACUCCGGGGAUAACAGGCUAGUCGCAUCCAAGAGUCCAUAUCGACGAUGCGGUUCGGCACCUCGAUGUCGGCUCAUCUUAUCCUGGGGCUGGAGAAGGUCCCAAGGGUUUGGCUGUUCGCCAAUUAAAAAGAUACGUGAGCUGGGUUCAAACCGUCAGAAGAACCUUUAACAUCGAUAAUCACACGGCGGCUUUCACGAGUAAUCGUGAUCGAAUAAACCGACUCAUAUCGGUGAAGUCCUAAUAUUGUAUGGUAACCUGUCAUAUGUUAGGAUAAUACCGAGGGAAGUUGUGUAUGACUAAAAAUCUUUCGCAAACACAAAAAGCUUAUCUUGCCGGUUUUCUUGAUGGUGACGGCAGUAUCUAUGUAAGAGCAAAACCAAAUCCAACGUAUCGUUAUGGAUUUCAGAUUGCUCCAUAUAUUGUUUUAUUUCAGUCCCAAAAAGAUAAAGAUAAUUUUUCGAAGGUUUGCGCGCUUAUUGGCUUAGGCCAUUUGCGUGAAAGGAAAGAUGGCAUUUUAGAGUAUAUUGUUAGUAAAAAAGAUUCUAUUGAUGAGUUUCUACAAAUUGUAAAACCGUAUUCUAUUUUGAAGAGGGAACAAGUAGAACUUAUGUCUAAGAUUCUUAAAGCUAAGCAUAAAGUACAAAGCAAAAAAGAUUUUGCGAUUCUGAUUGAUCUUAUAGAUCAAUUUCGAGAACUCAACUACUCUAAAAAAAGAAAGGUUCGUACAUUAACCCCGUAGAGACUGAUCCCGAAAGGGUGAGAGUCGCAAUGCGGCUCACACGUCGGUCAUCCCGGUAAAACCGGGAUGGUGGUAUAGUCCGAUCCCUUUAGUAAUAAAGGAAAUUCGUUAUUCGUAUCAUUCGUCCCUAAGCCCUUUGGGCCGGGAUCCCGGCUUCUUAGCCUAGGGACAUGCAUUUAUAUAUUUGCAUCGUGUUGUAAGCGAAGCGAACAAAAGCGUGAGACAGGUUGGUCUCUAUCUGCCGCAGGCGUUGAUGCUUGAGGGAAGUCGCUCCUAGUACGAGAGGACCGGAGUGAACGAACCUCUGGUGUACGAGCUGUCCCGCCCGGGGCAAUGCUCGGUAGCUAUGUUCGGAAGGGAUAAGCGCUGAAAGCAUAUAAGCGCGAAGCCCCUCCCAAGAUUAGGCAUCGUUUAGAUCCGUGGGAGAUGACCACGUUGAUAGGCUGCAGGUGUAAGUCCGGCAACGGAUUAAGCCAAGCAGUACUAAUAGAUCGAAAUCU
This 3930-nucleotide ribosomal RNA is filed under the name Candidatus Azambacteria bacterium RIFCSPLOWO2_01_FULL_46_26. RNAcentral's name for it is "bacterial LSU rRNA". It matches the Rfam family "Bacterial large subunit ribosomal RNA". Lineage: Bacteria; Candidatus Azamiibacteriota. The record is from RNAcentral.